Non-coding RNA from Salvelinus sp. IW2-2015, 316 nucleotides. Lineage: Eukaryota; Metazoa; Chordata; Actinopteri; Salmoniformes; Salmonidae. The record is from RefSeq and is a predicted model, not a curated record.
UCCAUAUGGUCCAUCCUCCUGUCUCAAAAGUGCUGUAAUUUUCUUCAACCACCGGAAAUUUGACUCAGGAGAGGAAUGCAGGACCCGUAGCCAGUUAUAAUACACAACUUCUAUCAGCAGCAACCCAGUCAGACCAUGGCUGGCUUCAGACAAGAGGAUGUGGAGGCGUUCUAUGAUAUGGGGGAGGAGCUGGGGAGUGGACAAUUCGCCAUCGUACGGAAGUGUAAAGACAAGAGUUCUGGCUCGGAGUACGCCGCCAAGUUAAUCAAGAAGCGUCGCCUGUCGUCCAGCCGCCGGGCGUGAGCCGCGAGGAGAU